GACGUAGGGCGCGAGCGUUGUCCGGAUUUAUUGGGCGUAAAGGGCUCGUAGGCGGUUUGUCGCGUCGGGAGUGAAAAUCCAGGGCUUAACUCUGGACUGGCUUUCGAUACGGGCAGACUAGAGGUAUGCAGGGGAGAACGGAAUUCCUGGUGUAGCGGUGAAAUGCGCAGAUAUCAGGAGGAACACCGGUGGCGAAGGCGGUUCUCUGGGCAUUACCUGACGCUGAGGAGCGAAAGUGUGGGGAGCGAACAGG
RNAcentral lists this ribosomal RNA (253 nucleotides) under uncultured bacterium. RNAcentral describes it as "partial 16S ribosomal RNA". It matches the Rfam family "Bacterial small subunit ribosomal RNA", at positions 524 to 776 of the family's 1533-position model. The record is from RNAcentral.